CUAGGGUUCCAUCUAACCUACGCCAGUGGCAACGUACAAGCACUUGAUAUAAUGUACCGUGAUAGGCGCUAAAGAAUCGGAAGCAACAUGGUCCCACCGCAACUGCACAUGUUUUGGGCCUUUUGCGCACGAUAAUCCCGUUCCACCAUUCAGCGCACGGUAGCUCUUCAACGCUACCAAGAGUUCAUCUUCCUCCUUGGAUGCGCACAGCGCACCGCUCCCGCUUUCCUGAUCUUACCUUCCCAAUAAAUAUUAAUUUUUCUGCUUAAAAUUUCUAGAAUUUUCUAUUUUAUUUCUCAAAGUCAGUAGCUUCAGUAAAAUUUCCCUCUUAUUUGGUAAGUAGAUUACUUAUAGUUUCCUCUCUUUUAUUUUUUUUUAUUUUUAUUUUUUUUUGUUGUAUGAAAUCAUAUUUAUGUUUUUAUGCAAAAUAAAAAUUCUUCAUGGCCGUAAGUUUGUUGUUUCAGGGAUUAACAAAUUUUUCUUGUUAUAUUAGUUCACAUUUUUUUUUAAUCAAGAUAAGGAUUAAAUCCUAAAUAUUGAGUAUUUUAUUUGAAGUCAUGGCAAUUAAUUUUCAGACUUUCGAAUCAAGCGGUAUGAAGAUGAUAUUUUCAAGGGAUCAUCAUUCAUCAAUGUGGAGAAGCGUUUUGAACUGUAGCUGAUGAUAUAAAUUAGAACAGUGAGUUUGUUGCUUGUCGAAGUUGCUUAAAUUUAAGAUUAUUUGAAAUGUUAAUUUGACUGUAUGAUUAAACGCUCCAAAUUUGGAAUUGCAAUGACAGUUUGAACAUGGGACGAAAAUUAUUCUCUGUAGGCGAAGAAAAUGAAGAUAGAGCAUGGAUGACUGAGGCGUUGCUGAAUUUAAAAUCAUUGCCAUUUUUGCUUGUUGAGGUGUCAUAGUCAUUGUUAUCACAUUGUUGAGUACUGAUCUGGAUAUAGAAAUUUUGAACGAUAAACAAACUUUUAUUGGUGGAUUAUUCAUUGUUUAUUGUUGAAUGUGGAAGUUUCUAGAAUUUCACUGUAAUAAGUGAUUAUUCUUACCCUUGAAAAUGAAAGAUAACCCACAAACACAUGGGAUUGAUUGGUAGGGGUGAGACUAUCAUUAAUCUUUAGAGGCAUUAGAAGUCCCUUUUUUUCUUGGCUACUUGUAUGUAUCGUCAUGGUUAACUUUUGGCUAUAGGUUGGGUUGAAAAUGACCUCAUUAAGCAGUGGAAAUUGGUAUUCCACAUGCAUUCUCUCCACUUUACAGAGAUCUUCUUGUGAUUAGGUUCUUGUGAAAUGUACCAUCAAGCAUACUCAUCUUCAGCAUUUUGUACUUUUAUCAUUUGCUGAUCCCUCACCCCCAUCAAAACACAUACCCCAAGAACAAAGAGAACAUAAUUCUAAUGUCAAGUUUGAUACAUGAUAUUAGAGUGAAUUGGACACUAUAGUGCAUAAGAUUUUAGUUUCUUUUUCUUUCUUAA
This 1457-nucleotide long non-coding RNA is filed under the name Olea europaea subsp. europaea. The record is from RNAcentral. Lineage: Eukaryota; Viridiplantae; Streptophyta; Magnoliopsida; Lamiales; Oleaceae.